GAUGAACGCUGGCGGCGUGCCUAAUACAUGCAAGUCGAGCGAACAGACGAGGAGCUUGCUCCUCUGACGUUAGCGGCGGACGGGUGAGUAACACGUGGAUAACCUACCUAUAAGACUGGGAUAACUUCGGGAAACCGGAGAUAAUACCGGAUAAUAUAUUGAACCGCAUGGUUCAAUAGUGAAAGACGGUUUUGCUGUCACUUAUAGAUGGAUCCGCGCCGGAUUAGCUAGUUGGUAAGGUAACGGCUUACCAAGGCAACGAUGCGUAGCCGACCUGAGAGGGUGAUCGGCCACACUGGAACUGAGACACGGUCCAGACUCCUACGGGAGGCAGCAGUAGGGAAUCUUCCGCAAUGGGCGAAAGCUUGACGGAGCAACGCCGCGUGAGUGAUGAAGGUCUUCGGAUCGUAAAGCUCUGUUAUUAGGGAAGAACAAAUGUGUAAGUAACUAUGCACGUCUUGACGGUACCUAAUCAGAAAGCCACGGCUAACUACGUG
This 497-nucleotide ribosomal RNA is filed under the name uncultured bacterium. RNAcentral describes it as "partial 16S ribosomal RNA". It matches the Rfam family "Bacterial small subunit ribosomal RNA", at positions 28 to 507 of the family's 1533-position model. The record is from RNAcentral.